RNAcentral lists this ribosomal RNA (468 nucleotides) under Halimeda heteromorpha. Its description in RNAcentral is "eukaryotic LSU rRNA". The stretch from base 120 to 280 matches the Rfam family "5.8S ribosomal RNA". Lineage: Eukaryota; Viridiplantae; Chlorophyta; Ulvophyceae; Bryopsidales; Halimedaceae. The record is from RNAcentral.
UUUUCGUAGGUGAACCUGCGAAAGGAUCAUUACCGGCACAACAACAACCAACAAUCACUAAGCGCUCUCGUCGAGUUAGAGAGAGUGCAGGCGAUUCUGAGGGAUCGUCGCAGUUCCGUAAGCAUGCGUGGUGGACGGCUCGGUUCCCGCGUCGAUGAAGGACGUAGCGAGAUACGAAAGGUGUUGCGAAUUGCAAGAUUUCGCGAGUCAAUGACCAUCCGAAUGCAUCGCCGUCCUUGCUUCGCUUCGGCGGAGGGAGGACGCGUCGGCGACAUCGCCCUGCACGAUCGCUCUCCCCCUUUCUGCGGAGAGGCGCCCGUGGACGGAUCACCCGACCCUCGGCGUGUCCGUGCCAGCGCGCACUGCGCCCGCGUGGCUUCNACUGGACCGCGCGUGGCGCCAAUUCUUUGGAUAGCUGCGAUGUCGUCGGCGAGGAAACCCGCUGAACUUAAGCAUAUCAUUAAGCGG